UUGUAUUCUUCGUGGUAUGACUUCUUUUUGAUAUCAGUCAUUUUAUAGCCUAUACAUGUCAAAUGAUUUGAAGCUUUGGUAUUCCUCCAACAGUAGACAUGGACUUUAAACGGUUUCAUUCCAAUACCGACCAGUAUUGCUUUCAAUCGGUAUUCCUCAAAAAGUUUCAUCGAUUAUUAUAUAUGACCACUAUUUUAUUUCUGUUGAUAUUCUAAGAUUUAGCAUUCCAAGUCAACUGCAGCUUCAAGGGGUUAUAUGCUCUCGAAGAGCAGGUACCAAUUUGGGUCACUAGGAAAUGGGAGAAGUUGGAAUUUAUGUUCACCAACAAAGUUACCAGUGUGGAUAUGGUUAUUCUCGAAGAGAAGCACACAGAAUGUUGCCUAUCAAUUAGCCAUGACAGCUUCAAGAGUUUGUGCUCCCUAGAUGAAGAGAAGUGAUGCUUCCUCAUAGUUAAGAGUCACGUAGGAAAUGGGAUUUUCAUGUGUCCCAACGACUUCACCAGCAUCAACAUGGUCAUGGUCGUCCAAAAGGUGUUUGCUAAACUUCGGUAUAAUAUGGUAGCUGAUUUACAGCUUACGAUUUUGAGCGUUGGACGAUUUAAUGGAGGUUCUUCAAUGUAUUCCACUGGAACUACAUAUACAGUAACAAUUUUGUAAAUGUACUCCAACCUUUAUUAAGGUCUAAAAUCGUUUUUUUUUUGUUGGUGCGGUAAUUUUUUUUAUAAAUGCUAUGGUAUUAACAUUCUUUCUUUAGGAAUUAGACGCAUGACGACGAACCAGAACUUGAAAACUCUUUCAGAACUGCCUAGAUACAUAACUACGAAGUCGGAGUGGGUACUACCGUACUACGGUACAACUUCAGUUCAGUCUAAUGUUGUUUAUCUUAUGAAAAUUUCUUUGAAGAUAACUUGGAAAUUAUUGAAGAUAGA
Molecule: long non-coding RNA, 928 nt
Organism: Papaver somniferum (opium poppy)
Lineage: Eukaryota; Viridiplantae; Streptophyta; Magnoliopsida; Ranunculales; Papaveraceae
Exons: 3
Source: RefSeq, a predicted model, not a curated record